Molecule: ribosomal RNA, 464 nt
Filed under: uncultured bacterium
Lineage: Bacteria
Description: partial 16S ribosomal RNA
Rfam family: Bacterial small subunit ribosomal RNA
Source: RNAcentral
CUACGGGGGGCUGCAGUGGGGAAUAUUGCACAAUGGGCGCAAGCCUGAUGCAGCCAUGCCGCGUGUAUGAAGAAGGCCUUCGGGUUGUAAAGUACUUUCAGCGGGGAGGAAGGGAGUAAAGUUAAUACCUUUGCCCAUUGACGUUACCCGCAGAAGAAGCACCGGCUAACUCCGUACCAGCAGCCGCGGUAAUACGGAGGGUGCAAGCGUUAAUCGGAAUUACUGGGCGUAAAGCGCACGCAGGCGGUUUGUUAAGUCAGAUGUGAAAUCCCCGGGCUCAACCUGGGAACUGCAUCUGAUACUGGCAAGCUUGAGUCUCGUAGAGGGGGGUAGAAUUCCAGGUGUAGCGGUGAAAUGCGUAGAGAUCUGGAGGAAUACCGGUGGCGAAGGCGGCCCCCUGGACGAAGACUGACGCUCAGGUGCGAAAGCGUGGGGAGCAAACAGGAUUAGAUACCCUUGUAGUC